UACCAGACUCCUACGGGAGGCAGCAGUGAGGAAUAUUGGUCAAUGGACGCAAGUCUGAACCAGCCAUGCCGCGUGCAGGAAGACGGCUCUAUGAGUUGUAAACUGCUUUUGUACGAGGGUAAACGCAGAUACGUGUAUCUGUCUGAAAGUAUCGUACGAAUAAGGAUCGGCUAACUCCGUGCCAGCAGCCGCGGUAAUACGGAGGAUUCAAGCGUUAUCCGGAUUUAUUGGGUUUAAAGGGUGCGUAGGCGGUCGGAUAAGUUAGAGGUGAAAUCCCGAGGCUCAACUUCGGAAUUGCCUCUGAUACUGUUCGGCUAGAGAGUAGUUGCGGUAGGCGGAAUGUAUGGUGUAGCGGUGAAAUGCUUAGAGAUCAUACAGAACACCGAUUGCGAAGGCAGCUUGCUAGGCCGGAUCUGACACUGAUGCACGAAAGCGUGGGGAUCGAACAGGAUUAGAUACCCGGGUAAU
This 468-nucleotide ribosomal RNA is filed under the name uncultured bacterium. Its description in RNAcentral is "bacterial SSU rRNA". It matches the Rfam family "Bacterial small subunit ribosomal RNA", at positions 329 to 794 of the family's 1533-position model. The record is from RNAcentral.